GGUAUCUGUGACUACCCUAUCAAGAUGAUCUCCCACACUCAGCUUCUCUGGCUCCUUGUCCUCUGCAUUCAGGACUCCAGUGGGCAGAUUGUGCUGACUCAGACUCCGGAAUCCCUGGCAGUAUCUCCAGGAGACAGAGUCACCAUCAACUGCAAAGCCAGUUCUAGUGCUAGAGGAUAUGUGGCCUGGUACCAACAGAAAACAGGACAAGCUCCUAAGCUCCUUAUCUACAGCGCUUCCACCCGUCCCUCUGGGAUCCCAGACAGGUUCAGUGGCAGUGGGUCUGGCACUGACUACACAUUCACUAUCAGCGGGGUUGAAGCAGAUGAUGCUGGAGAUUAUUACUGCCAGUAUCAUUACACCACCCCUCUCACACAGUGA
Molecule: non-coding RNA, 381 nt
Organism: Chelonoidis abingdonii (Abingdon island giant tortoise)
Lineage: Eukaryota; Metazoa; Chordata; Testudines; Testudinidae
Source: the annotation of a RefSeq genome assembly